GGAUGAAUAUUGGGCAAUGGGCGGAAGCCUGACCCAGCAACGCCGCGUGAAGGAAGACGGUUUUCGGAUUGUAAACUUCUUUUAAGAGGGACGAUAAUGACGGUACCUCUUGAAUAAGCCACGGCUAACUACGUGCCAGCAGCCGCGGUAAUACGUAGGUGGCAAGCGUUGUCCGGAUUUACUGGGUGUAAAGGGCGAGUAGGCGGACCUGCAAGUCAGAUGUGAAAUCCCCGGGCUUAACCCGGGAACUGCAUUUGAAACUGUAGGCCUUGAGUGAUGGAGAGGCAGGCGGAAUUCCCGGUGUAGCGGUGGAAUGCGUAGAUAUUAGGAGGAACACCAGUGGCGAAGGCGGAUUGCUGGACGACAACUAACGGUGAGGCGCGAAAGC
RNAcentral lists this ribosomal RNA (388 nucleotides) under uncultured Clostridium sp. RNAcentral's name for it is "bacterial SSU rRNA". It matches the Rfam family "Bacterial small subunit ribosomal RNA", at positions 355 to 760 of the family's 1533-position model. Lineage: Bacteria; Bacillati; Bacillota; Clostridia; Eubacteriales; Clostridiaceae. The record is from RNAcentral.